AUGAGAGUCAAAGCGGCCUUGUUUAAUAAGACAAAGUUUAUAGUCGGUAAUGGCACCACCACUCGCUUCUGUGAGGAUACUUGGCUUGGUGAAACGUCGCUGGCGCUUCAGUAUCCGUCCCUGUAUAGUAUUGUUCGACGACGUGAUGCUUUUGUUGCAACGAUUUUGCAGUGCAUUCCCCUUAAUAUUCAGUUUAGGAGGACGCUUGUUGGCAACCAGUGGGAAGCGUGGCUCCAUUUGGUGAGUAGACUGAUGGAGGUUCAGCUAUCUCAUCAGUCCGAUCAGUUGUGCUGGAAACUUACUAGGUCUGGAGAGUUCACAGUUAAAUCGAUGUAUAUCGAUGUCAUUAACUCUAGUGUCAUUCCUAGUUCCAAAUAUGUUUGGAAAGUCAAAGUUCCUUUGAAAAUUAAAGUGUUUAUGUGGUUUGUACAUAAACAAGUCAUUCUAACAAAGGAUAACUUGGUAAAGCGCAACUGGACAAGAUCUACUAGGUGUACUUUCUGUGAUCGGGAUGAAACUAUCAAGCACUUAUUCUUUGAUUGCCCGUUGGACAAAGUGUUGUGGCACACGGUGCACAUUGCCUUUAACAUCUCUCCUCCGAAUUCUGUCAGUACAUUAUUUGGAACGUGGCUUGUUGGGAUAGAGUCCGAAACAGCUAGACACAUUCGCGUAGGAGUAUGUGCAUUGUCGUGGGCAAUUUGGAACUGCAAAAAUGAUUUGGCUUUUAAUAGAACAACAAAUAUUCAUUUUUUGCAGGUUAUUUUCCGAGCCACUGCGCUGAUCCGUAUGUGGUCGUUACUGACUCCGACGGAGGCCAGGGAGCAUUUGGUUACUGGAUCUAUCCGCUGGGAGAUGGUAGCUCGGGAUAUCUUCAACCGAUUUGACUGGCGGUCAUGUAAUAGGAUAGGCGAUUAG
Molecule: ribosomal RNA, 915 nt
Filed under: Triticum aestivum (bread wheat)
Lineage: Eukaryota; Viridiplantae; Streptophyta; Magnoliopsida; Poales; Poaceae
Description: partial small subunit ribosomal RNA
Source: RNAcentral